AUGCAACACAUGACACAGUUCCCUUUUCAGAAUCCAGCCACCGAUGUCAAAUCUCAAACUAAAUGGAUUAAUGAAAAGAGACAGAGAAGUCCAGCAGCUGCCAUUUAUCCUUCUGAAAAUCACUCCGAGAAGCUGUCUUGCUUUUUUGUGGCAAUGUAUAUAUCCAACCAAUUGUAAAUACACAAGCCUCCAAUGGGGAAAACAUCGUAUUGCUUUAACUAGUUUUGUAGUUAUGUCGGAUGUGUCAAAAUCAAAGCAAUUGUCUACACAACGUUUCUUAUCAUAAUAUUCAUAUUAUGGAGUAGAACUGGCAAAGGAGCAUGUGACAAAACCCACUAUUUUGCCUGCGUAGGAGAUGGCCUCCUCCGAAGUUCACUAACAGGUUCCUGAACCUCAUUCAUGUUUUCCCUUUAUUCGGUAUAUAAAUCUACCGAACACUGACCAUCCCCCUUGCUCAUUAACUACAAAGAAACCACAGGAUUAAGUGCUCUCACUGUGUGUCCGCCUUUCGUAUAACCGAACGCCACGUGCUGGAGAAAAUGUCAGCCAUCUUGCUGCACGAACGCAUGCAGCGGGACUUGGUCGUUGAGUGUCUGGAACUCUAAGUCGGACACUCAACCUCACGAUUACCGGUGAAACCAGACGAACGCCUGCUUUCCGCGACAAGCUAGGAGAGCGUUGUACGGUAGGUUUGUUCGUACGAACAAGAUGAACAAACGCUACCUAUGAGCCAGGGGAACCAAUUGUCUUUUUGGUCGGUUUGGAACUCCUGAAAUUGACCGACAACUACCACUAAAACUAUGGAACUGAUUUGGGCAGACGCCUCAUGAGCGGUCGAUCAAAUCUUUACUCCGGUGGCGAUUCGACUGUAUUUGUGGGAUCUGAGCGCUAUUUGGACAACUUGGGCGCUCAGAUCCAGGCUAUCCGGGGAUAUAAUAUUUGUGCUGGUUUUCUAUAUGUUUAUUAUGUAUUUUGAUAUUUUAUGUUUUUAUGCAGAGUCACUCUGACACUGGAAUUUGUGGACAAUUUGUGGGAGUGUUCUUGGAGUGUUUUACUGCAUCCUUGUUUUGUAUAUAAGUG
Molecule: non-coding RNA, 1080 nt
Organism: Pelobates cultripes (western spadefoot toad)
Lineage: Eukaryota; Metazoa; Chordata; Amphibia; Anura; Pelobatidae
Source: the annotation of a GenBank genome assembly